Molecule: long non-coding RNA, 461 nt
Filed under: Equus asinus (donkey)
Lineage: Eukaryota; Metazoa; Chordata; Mammalia; Perissodactyla; Equidae
Description: lncRNA (ENSEASG00005036926.1)
Source: RNAcentral
GGGGACUUCAAGGGAGCUGACACCCAGCCCGCCCAGAACUACUUGGAGUUUCCUACGUGGCGGCGACACUUCCCGAAUGCUGACGCUCUGCCCCUCUUCGAAGGCCUGCUUUUAUUUUUCCUGUCCAGGUCAUCUCUGCAAGUCAUUAAAGUUAAAGGUUCCGACUGUGCUAUUCUAGAAAAGACAAGAACAACAGACUCCUUAAGGCUAGCCCAGGCAUGUUCUCAUGGCACGGUGGAGAGACACUACAGAGGAAGUGGAAUCAUGCAGGCUAUUCAACCUUCUAAGUGUGAGAUGUUGCUAACUACCAUCCCGUUGGCCAAAGUGGUGGGCAGAAAUGAACCUGGCGCGGUAACAGUAUUUUCCAAACUGCCUUUCAGCAAGCUGGACAAAUUUACACUACCACCAACAGUAGGAGAGUGCCUGAUUUUCCAGACUCUUAUCAGAAUUUUUUAUCUUUG